UACGGGGGGAGCAAGCGUUGUUCGGAUUUACUGGGCGUAAAGGGCGCGUAGGCGGCGCAACAAGUCACUUGUGAAAUCUCCGGGCUUAACCCGGAGCGGCCAAGUGAUACUGUCGUGCUAGAGUGCGGAAGGGGCUACUGGAAUUCUCGGUGUAGCGGUGAAAUGCGUAGAUAUCGGGAGGAACACCUGUGGCGAAAGCGGCGCACUGGACCACAACUGACGCUGAGGCGCGAAAGCUAGGGGAGCAAACAGG
Molecule: ribosomal RNA, 253 nt
Filed under: uncultured bacterium
Lineage: Bacteria
Description: partial 16S ribosomal RNA
Rfam family: Bacterial small subunit ribosomal RNA
Source: RNAcentral